RNAcentral lists this long non-coding RNA (755 nucleotides) under Homo sapiens (human). RNAcentral describes it as "non-protein coding lnc-SFSWAP-6:1". Lineage: Eukaryota; Metazoa; Chordata; Mammalia; Primates; Hominidae. The record is from RNAcentral.
AUGAAGCUGAACAUCUUCCCAGCCGCUAGCUGCCAAAAGCUCAUUGAAGUGGACGAUGAACGCAAACUUCGUAGUUUGUAUGAGAUGCCUGUGGCCACAGAAGUUGCUGCUGAUGCUCUCGUGAAGCAUGGAAGGGUUCUGUGGUCUGGAUCAGUGGUGGGAAAGACAAACAAGCCUUCCCAUGAAGCAGGGUGACCCGACCCAUGGCCAUGUCCACCUGCUACCGAGUAAGCGGCAUUCCUGCCAUAGACCAAGGAGAACUGGAGAAAGACAGUGAAAACCUGUUCGCCGUUGCAUAUUGUGGAUGCCAAUCUCAGCGUCCUCAACUUGGUUAUUGUUAAAAAAAAAAAAAAAAAAAGUAGGAGAGAAGGAUAUUCCUGGACUGACUGAUACUAUGGCGCCUCGCUGCCUGGGGCCCAGAAGAGCUAGCAGAAUCCGCAGACUUUUCUAUGUCUCUAAAGAAGAUGAUGUCUGGAAAUAUGUUGAAAGCCCUUAAACAAAGAAUGUAAGAAACUGAGGACCAAAGCACCCAAGACUCAGUGUCUUGUUACUCCACGUGUCCUGCAACACAAAUGCUGGCAUCUUGCUCUGAAGAAAACAGUGCACUACGAAAAAUAAAGCAGAGGCUGCAGAGUAGGCUACACGCUGGCCAUGAGAAUGAAAGAGGCCAAAGAAAAACAUCAGGAACAGACUGCCAGGAAAUGCAGACCCUCCAGCGGUGAGCUUCUACUUCUAAGUCUGCAUCCAGACAAAAG